AUUGAACGCUGGCGGCAUGCCUUACACAUGCAAGUCGAACGGCAGCACGGGUGCUUGCACCUGGUGGCGAGUGGCGAACGGGUGAGUAAUACAUCGGAACAUGUCCUGUAGUGGGGGAUAGCCCGGCGAAAGCCGGAUUAAUACCGCAUACGAUCUACGGAUGAAAGCGGGGGACCUUCGGGCCUCGCGCUAUAGGGUUGGCCGAUGGCUGAUUAGCUAGUUGGUGGGGUAAAGGCCUACCAAGGCGACGAUCAGUAGCUGGUCUGAGAGGACGACCAGCCACACUGGGACUGAGACACGGCCCAGACUCCUACGGGAGGCAGCAGUGGGGAAUUUUGGACAAUGGGCGAAAGCCUGAUCCGGCAAUGCCGCGUGUGUGAAGAAGGCCUUCGGGUUGUAAAGCACUUUUGUCCGGAAAGAAAUCCUUAGCCCUAAUACGGUCGGGGGAUGACGGUACCGGAAGAAUAAGCACCGGCUAACUACGUG
Molecule: ribosomal RNA, 486 nt
Filed under: uncultured bacterium
Lineage: Bacteria
Description: partial 16S ribosomal RNA
Rfam family: Bacterial small subunit ribosomal RNA
Source: RNAcentral